Bos taurus (domestic cattle) is the source of this 72-nucleotide non-coding RNA. The record is from Rfam. Lineage: Eukaryota; Metazoa; Chordata; Mammalia; Artiodactyla; Bovidae.
UCCCUGGUGGCUCAGCUGGUAAAGUAUCCACCUGCAACGUGAGAGACCUGGGUUCAAUUCCUAGGUUGGGAA